GCCGGGUUGCACUCCGCGUCCAGCAGGAAGAUGUUGCUAGGCUUCACGUUGUAGUGGACCAGCGGCGGCCGGAACGCCUGGUGCAGGUGGGCCAGCGCCCGGGCCGUCCCGGACACCACGCGGAACCGCUCCUCCCACGUCAUCGGCGGCAACAACUCCUCGCCGCCGUUGAGGUGGAGCCGCGCCUCCAGGCUGCCGUGCGCCGCGUAGUCAGUGAUCAGCAGCUGAAGCUGAGGCGUCCAGUAGUAGCCCUUGAGCGGCAGCAGGUUCGGGUGCCGCGCCUUCCCGAGCACGCGCACCUCACGCUCGAACUCCUCGCGCGACCGCACCAUGUUCGCCGCCACAAGCUUCUUCACCGCCACCACCCGCCCGUCGCCCACGGGCGCGCGGUACACCGUGCCGAACGCGCCGCGCCCGAUCUCCGUCGCCUUGCUCAGCAGCGCGUCGGCGCCGGCCACCAGGUCCUCUGACCGGAGGCUGCUCCCGGGACCGAACGUCACCAUCUUGCCGGCCGCGAGCUUGUCCUUGCCCUUUCCCUUCCCCCCGGGCGGUGACGACGACGACUUGGUCGUCGUGCUGGCGGUGACGAUGCUCUCGUCCACCUCCUUCUUCUGGCCGUGGCCGUGGCCACCGCCCGCCGCCUCGGCCCUCCGCCGGGCCGACACGUUGAGCAGCGUGAUCACGAUGACCCCCAGGACGAUCGCGACCGCCGCGCAGAUGGCCACCAUGGCGGACACGCUCAGGAACCGCCGCUUCCUCGGCGCUCCCACCCCGCCGCCGCCGCCGUUCGUCUCCAGGUUGUUGUUGUCGCCGCCGCCGGCCCCGCCGUGCGUGUACUCGUUGGGGUCCAGCACCAGCGGCUUGGGCACGUUCAUCCUGCACGGCUCCGCCACCAGCGGGCUGCAGAUGCCCAGGUUGCCCUCCAGCGCGCUCGCGUCCAGGCUCUGGAACACGCCCGACGCCGGCAGCCGCCCCACCAGGCGGUUGUGCGAGAUGUUCACGGCCAGCAGGUUCUCCAGCCCGCCCAGCUGCGCCGGGAUCUCGCCGCUCAGGUUGUUGUACUCCAGCCGCAGGAUCUCCAGCUUCUUCAGCUCCGAGAUGCCCGCCGGGAUCGGCCCCGUCAAGCCGUUGUGCCCCAAGCUCCUGCAGUUUGCAUGCAUAAACCAAACCGUUGGUCGUCAGAACUCAGACGACGGACGUGACGUGAGAGAGUGUCGUGAUCGUGACACAUUCACACAUGCAACGCAACACUUACAGGAGGUACAGGGAAGAACAGUUUCCGAUGCUGUCGGGGAUGGGGCCGGAGAGGGAGUUGCCGUCGAGCUGGAGCACGGCGAGGCUACCGGACUCGCAGAGGUCAGCGGGCAUGGCGCCGUACAGCCCGGUGCUACGCAGGUCGAGUACCGUCAGGUUGCGGAGUAGGCCGAGCUCCGGCGGCAGCGGCGUUCGGAGGUCGUUGCGGGACAGGUUGAGGUACCGGAGCUUGAAGAAGAGCGACAUCUCGGUGGGGAUGCCGCCGGUGAGCAUGUUGCCGGAGAGGUCGAGCCACUGCAGCGUCUCCGCCAGCCUAGUGGAGCCGGACGGCAGGACGCCCGAGAGCGCGUUCGACGACACGUCGAGCGUCUCGAGCCCGACGUCGAACAGAGCGUCCGGGAUGCUGCCGCUGAGGCUGUUGCCCCUCAGGUGCAGCUCGGCGAGCUUGGUGCACCCGGACAUGGAGGCCGGGACGGCGCCGGAGAGCUGGUUCCUAGACAGGCUCAGGUACUUGAGCGCCUUGAGGUCGCCGAGCGAGUCCGGCAGGCUUCCGGUGAACGCGUUGUCGGAUAAGUCGAGGUGCUGCACCGCGGCCAGCUUGCCGAGCCAUGCGGGGACGUCGCCGGAGAGACGGUUGCCGGACGCGGAGAGGUAGACGAGCGAGCCGAGCUGGCCGAUGGAGUCAGGGAGGUGGCCGUCGAACGCGUUGGAGCUGAGGUCAAUGGUGCUGAGGUGCGGGCACAGGCCGAUGUCGGCCGGGACGGCGCCGGAGAAGCGGUUGCCGCUGAGGCUGAGGGUCUUGAGGUUGUGGAGCCUGGCAAUGCCGUCGGUGACUGGGCCGGAGAACUGGUUCCGUGACAGGUCGAGCGUGCGCAGGCGCUCGAGCGGCCAGAGCGCGCCCGCGAAGUCAGGCGAGCCGGAGAGCUGGUUGCCGGACACGUUGAGGUGGAGCAGGAGCGGGCUCUUGGCCGCCAGCCCCUCCGGCACGGGGCCGGAGAACUGGUUGCCGGACAGGACCAGGAAGCGGAGCGUGCGCGGGAAGGCGGGCGGGAGCGGGCCGGAGAAGGCGUUGCCGGUGAGGUCGAGGUAGCGGAGGGAGGCGAGGCGCGCGACGUCGUCGGGGAGCGGGCCGGAGAAGGCGUUGUAGGAGAGGUCGAGCGAGCGGAGGGAGCCGAGGAGGGAGAGGCCCGGCGGGAGCGGGCCGGAGAGGUUGUUGCGGGCGAGGGAGAGGUCCUGGAGCGCCGGCAGGCGGUCGAGGCCCCGCGGCAUGC
Molecule: long non-coding RNA, 2525 nt
Filed under: Sorghum bicolor (sorghum)
Lineage: Eukaryota; Viridiplantae; Streptophyta; Magnoliopsida; Poales; Poaceae
Description: long non-coding RNA (SBIC_LNC005869)
Source: RNAcentral